GACGAACGCUGGCGGCGUGCUUAACACAUGCAAGUCGAACGGAAAGGCCCUGCUUUUGUGGGGUGCUCGAGUGGCGAACGGGUGAGUAACACGUGAGUAACCUGCCCUUGACUUUGGGAUAACUUCAGGAAACUGGGGCUAAUACCGGAUAGGAGCUCCUGCUGCAUGGUGGGGGUUGGAAAGUUUCGGCGGUUGGGGAUGGACUCGCGGCUUAUCAGCUUGUUGGUGGGGUAGUGGCUUACCAAGGCUUUGACGGGUAGCCGACCUGAGAGGGUGACCGGCCACAUUGGGACUGAGAUACAGCCCAGACUCCUACGGGAGGCAGCAGUGGGGAAUAUUGCACAAUGGGCGGAAGCCUGAUGCAGCAACGCCGCGUGCGGGAUGACGGCCUUCGGGUUGUAAACCGCUUUCGCCUGUGACGAAGCGUGAGUGACGGUAAUGGGUAAAGAAGCACCGGCUAACUACGUG
Molecule: ribosomal RNA, 468 nt
Filed under: uncultured bacterium
Lineage: Bacteria
Description: partial 16S ribosomal RNA
Rfam family: Bacterial small subunit ribosomal RNA
Source: RNAcentral